RNAcentral lists this ribosomal RNA (253 nucleotides) under uncultured Armatimonadota bacterium. RNAcentral's name for it is "uncultured Armatimonadetes bacterium partial 16S ribosomal RNA". It matches the Rfam family "Bacterial small subunit ribosomal RNA", at positions 524 to 776 of the family's 1533-position model. Lineage: Bacteria; Bacillati; Armatimonadota. The record is from RNAcentral.
UACGUAGGGAGCGAGCGUUGUCCGAAUUCACUGGGCGUAAAGCGCGCGUAGGCGGGUUCUUAAGUUGGUGGUGAAAUCCCGAGGCUCAACCUCGGAACUGCCUCCAAAACUGGGAACCUUGAGGUAUGGAGGGGGAAGUGGAAUUCCUGGUGUAGCGGUGAAAUGCGUAGAUAUCAGGAGGAACACCCGUGGCGAAGGCGGCUUCCUGGCCAUAUCCUGACGCUGAGGUGCGAAAGCUAGGGUAGCGAACGGG